ACACUGUUCAUGGGUUACCGCGGCUGCUGGCACGGAGUUAGCCGGUGCUUCUUCUGUGAGUGAUGUCCUUCCUGCCGGCUAUUAACCCGCAGGCCUUCUUCCUCACUGAAAGUGCUUUACAACCCGAAGGCCUUCUUCACACACGCGGCAUGGCUGGAUCAGGGUUGCCCCCAUUGUCCAAUAUUCCCCACUGCUGCCUCCCGUAGGAGUCUGGGCCGUGUCUCAGUCCCAGUGUGGCUGAUCAUCCUCUCAGACCAGCUACGGAUCGUCGCCUUGGUGAGCCGUUACCUCACCAACCAGCUAAUCCGACAUACGGCUCAUCCGAUAGCGCGAGGCCCGAAGGUCCCCCGCUUUCCCCCGUAGGGCGUAUGCGGUAUUAGCCUGGGUUUCCCCAGGUUAUCCCCACUACCGGGCAGAUUCCUAUGCAUUACUCACCCGUCCGCCGCUCGCCACCAGGGAGCAAGCUCCCCGGUGCUGCCGCUCGACUUGCAUGUGUUAGGCCUGCCGCCAGCGUUCAAU
Molecule: ribosomal RNA, 519 nt
Filed under: uncultured bacterium
Lineage: Bacteria
Description: partial 16S ribosomal RNA
Source: RNAcentral